This 647-nucleotide ribosomal RNA is filed under the name Claviceps sorghi. Its description in RNAcentral is "eukaryotic LSU rRNA". It matches the Rfam family "Eukaryotic large subunit ribosomal RNA", at positions 1 to 669 of the family's 3401-position model. Lineage: Eukaryota; Fungi; Ascomycota; Sordariomycetes; Hypocreales; Clavicipitaceae. The record is from RNAcentral.
UUGACCUCGAAUCAGGUAGGAAUACCCGCUGAACUUAAGCAUAUCAAUAAGCGGAGGAAAAGAAACCAACAGGGAUUGCCCCAGUAACGGCGAGUGAAGCGGCAACAGCUCAAAUUUGAAAUCCGGCCCCCCGGGGCCCGAGUUGUAAUUUGCAGAGGAUGCUUUUGGCGAGGCGCCUUCCGAGUUCCCUGGAACGGGACGCCAUAGAGGGUGAGAGCCCCGUCUGGUCGGACGCCGAGCCUCUGUAAAGCUCCUUCGACGAGUCGAGUAGUUUGGGAAUGCUGCUCUAAAUGGGAGGUAUAUGUCUUCUAAAGCUAAAUACCGGCCAGAGACCGAUAGCGCACAAGUAGAGUGAUCGAAAGAUGAAAAGCACUUUGAAAAGAGGGUUAAACAGUACGUGAAAUUGUUGAAAGGGAAGCGCUUGUGACCAGACUUGGGCCCGGCGGAUCACCCAGCGUUCUCGCUGGUGCACUCCGGCGGGCCCAGGCCAGCAUCAGCUCGUCCCGGGGGACAAAGGCGGGGGGAACGUGGCUCCUCCGGGAGUGUUAUAGCCCACCGCGCAAUGCCCUGGGGCGGGCUGAGGACCGCGCGUAUGCAUGGAUGCUGGCGUAAUGGUCACCAGCGACCCGUCUUGAAACACGGACCAA